CCAAUAGCGUAUAUUAAAGUUGUUGCAGUUAAAAAGCUCGUAGUUGAAUUUCGGGACCAAUAUGUCGGUCGUGCUUCGGUACGUACUUGCAUUAUUGGUUUCUCCCUUCUGAAGAACCAUGAUGUCAUUAAUUUGGUGUCUUGGGGAAUCAGGACUGUUACUUUGAAAAAAUUGGAGUGUUUAAAGCAGGCUCACGCUUGAAUACAUUAGCAUGGAAUAAUGAAAUAGGACGUUUGAUUCUAUUUUGUUGGUUUCUAGGAUCGACGUAAUGAUUAAUAGGGAUAGUUGGGGGCAUUAGUAUUCAAUUGUCAGAGGUGAAAUUCUUGGAUUUAUUGAAGACUAACUACUGCGAAAGCAUUUGCCAAGGAUGUUUUCAUUAAUCAAGAACGAAAGUUAGGGGAUCGAAGACGAUCAGAUACCGUCGUAGUCUUAACCAUAAACUAUGCCGACUAGGGAUCGGAUGAUGUUAUUUUUGAUGACUCAUUCGGCGCCUUACG
RNAcentral lists this ribosomal RNA (497 nucleotides) under uncultured Glomeromycotina. Its description in RNAcentral is "partial small subunit ribosomal RNA". It matches the Rfam family "Eukaryotic small subunit ribosomal RNA", at positions 591 to 1092 of the family's 1831-position model. Lineage: Eukaryota; Fungi; Glomeromycota. The record is from RNAcentral.